Molecule: transfer RNA, 91 nt
Rfam family: tRNA
About the family: Transfer RNA (tRNA) molecules are approximately 80 nucleotides in length. Their secondary structure includes four short double-helical elements and three loops (D, anti-codon, and T loops).
GCUCGCGUGGCGCAAUCGGCUAGCGCGUCAGACUUUUAUGAAAUAAUCUUCUGACAUCUGAAUGUUGCGAGUUCGAGUCUCGCCGUGAGCG